GGUUACAGAGAAGCUUUAGCACUCACAUAAAUCACAAUAUAUUGUUUUGAGUUAGUUUUUGGUGAAAAUUCUUCAGUGUUCUUCUUGAGUGUGAAGACAUUCUUGAGUUUUGGGGAGAAGAAGCUAGGAUCUUGAAGCUUAGCAUUUUCGGAAGCAAUUAAUUUUCUAAGGGCCUGUUCAUGUGAUUUCUCUGUGGCCGCUUAAAAUAGCCGAUCUAAAAUUAAGUUGAUGCAUCUACGUAGAUGUUGAGGGAUCAAUUCGGUAGAAUUAGACGAGGCUGAUGGGCUCAAUGCAGUGGGAUUAAUUUUUGAUGCAUCUAUUUGUGAUGGGGUUGGAACUGGCUAUAUGGUGUUGGGCAAGAGGGGUAAUUAAGUUUUAUGAGGUGUAAAAAAGGGACUUCUCUUACUCCUAUAUGGACUGGGCCUUGAACCUUGGUCUGUGCUUGGGAAUAGAUGCUGCGAGGAGACAAUUCAGUGGCCUGAAAUUGCAUUUUCCCUCUGUUGGUUGCUGUUGUGAUUGUGGUUGAGAAGGAGCUUUUUGUUGGCUGUUUCAUUUGGCUGGCUGUGUAUUGAGUAGGCAUGUGGUAGGGUUGGCUAUUUUACUGUCGUUCCUUACUGCCAGUGUUAGUUUUUUUCCCCAGUGGUGGUCUUUGUGUUUUGUUGUGUACUGUGUUCUGUUUGCUAUUUUUUUCUUUAUCCCUCCUUUCUCUUUUGCUGUACACUUACAACCUACAUCUUUCUUUUCUUCUGCCUUGCAUUUAAUUAUUGGGUUGUAGUAUCCCCUUAAGUACAACCUUAUUAUAUAUACUCAUUAUUGGCCUUCCAAAAAAAAAGUUUUACUGUCCAUCCUUUAAAAGUUUAGUUUUUGGCUUGGCUUUGCAGUUCAUGGAUUCUUGCUCUUUCCUCUCCUGCAAAUUUACUCAUGGGCCUAUAUGUCAUGUUUUAUCCAAGAACAUAGAAGUGAGGUAUGGUACCUAGAGUGAACGGAUCGUGAUGUGAGAAUCUAGAGAGAAUAAGAGCGUAACCGCUUAGAGAGAGAAAGUAACUGAAUUUCAAGUUUAUUAUUUCCCAAAUGGGCUAAGAGUCCC
Molecule: long non-coding RNA, 1087 nt
Organism: Lotus japonicus
Lineage: Eukaryota; Viridiplantae; Streptophyta; Magnoliopsida; Fabales; Fabaceae
Exons: 3
Source: RefSeq, a predicted model, not a curated record